RNAcentral lists this ribosomal RNA (239 nucleotides) under uncultured bacterium. RNAcentral describes it as "partial 16S ribosomal RNA". It matches the Rfam family "Bacterial small subunit ribosomal RNA", at positions 92 to 334 of the family's 1533-position model. The record is from RNAcentral.
CGACCGGCGCACGGGUGCGUAACGCGUAUGCAACCUACCUUUAACAGGGGGAUAACACUGAGAAAUUGGUACUAAUACCCCAUAAUAUCAUAGAAGGCAUCUUUUAUGGUUGAAAUUCCGAUGGUUAGAGAUGGGCAUGCGUUGUAUUAGCUAGUUGGUGGGGUAACGGCUCACCAAGGCGACGAUACAUAGGGGGACUGAGAGGUUAACCCCCACACUGGUACUGAGACACGGACCAG